Molecule: unclassified non-coding RNA, 352 nt
Filed under: soil metagenome
Description: partial contains 5.8S ribosomal RNA, internal transcribed spacer 2, and large subunit ribosomal RNA
Rfam family: 5.8S ribosomal RNA (bases 1-120)
Source: RNAcentral
GAUGAAGAACGCAGUGAUAUGCGAUAAGUAAUGUGAAUUGCAGAAUUCAGUGAAUCAUCGAAUCUUUGAACGCACAUUGCGCCCGCUAGUAUUCUGGCGGGCAUGCCUGUUCGAGCGUCAUUACAACCCUCAGGCCCCCGGGCCUGGCGUUGGGGAUCGGCGGAAGCCCCCUGUGGGCACACGCCGUCCCUCAAAUACAGUGGCGGUCCCGCCGCAGCUUCCAUUGCGUAGUAGCUAACACCUCGCAACUGGAGAGCGGCGCGGCCAUGCCGUAAAACACCCAACUUCUGAAUGUUGACCUCGAAUCAGGUAGGAAUACCCGCUGAACUUAAGCAUAUCAAUAAGCGGAGGA